UACGUAGGGUGCGAGCGUUGUCCGGAAUUAUUGGGCGUAAAGGGCUCGUAGGCGGUUUGUCGCGUCGGGUGUGAAAACACUGGGCUUAACUCAGUGCUUGCUUCCGAUACGGGCAGACUAGAGGUAUGCAGGGGAGAACGGAAUUCCUGGUGUAGCGGUGAAAUGCGCAGAUAUCAGGAGGAACACCGGUGGCGAAGGCGGUUCUCUGGGCAUUACCUGACGCUGAGGAGCGAAAGUGUGGGGAGCGAACAGG
Molecule: ribosomal RNA, 253 nt
Filed under: uncultured bacterium
Lineage: Bacteria
Description: partial 16S ribosomal RNA
Rfam family: Bacterial small subunit ribosomal RNA
Source: RNAcentral